AACGUAGGAGGCAAGCGUUAUCCGGAUUCACUGGGCGUAAAGCGCGUGCAGGCGGUGCGGUAAGUUAGGCGUGAAAUCUCCCGGCUCAACUGGGAGAGGUCGUCUAAUACUACCGUACUAGAGAGCAGAAGAGGAAGAUGGAAUUCCCGGUGUAGUGGUGAAAUGCGUAGAUAUCGGGAGGAACACCAGUGGCGAAGGCGAUCUUCUGGUCUGUUUCUGACGCUCAGACGCGACAGCCUAGGGUAGUAAACGGG
Molecule: ribosomal RNA, 254 nt
Filed under: uncultured bacterium
Lineage: Bacteria
Description: partial 16S ribosomal RNA
Rfam family: Bacterial small subunit ribosomal RNA
Source: RNAcentral